This 473-nucleotide ribosomal RNA is filed under the name uncultured bacterium. Its description in RNAcentral is "bacterial SSU rRNA". It matches the Rfam family "Bacterial small subunit ribosomal RNA", at positions 335 to 801 of the family's 1533-position model. The record is from RNAcentral.
ACUCCUACGGGAGGCAGCAGUAGGGAAUCUUCCACAAUGGGCGCAAGCCUGAUGGAGCAACACCGCGUGAGUGAAGAAGGGUUUCGGCUCGUAAAGCUCUGUUGUUAAAGAAGAACACGUAUGAGAGUAACUGUUCAUACGUUGACGGUAUUUAACCAGAAAGUCACGGCUAACUACGUGCCAGCAGCCGCGGUAAUACGUAGGUGGCAAGCGUUAUCCGGAUUUAUUGGGCGUAAAGAGAGUACAGGCGGUUUUCUAAGUCUGAUGUGAAAGCCUUCGGCUUAACCGGAGAAGUGCAUCGGAAACUGGAUAACUUGAGUGCAGAAGAGGGUAGUGGAACUCCAUGUGUAGCGGUGGAAUGCGUAGAUAUAUGGAAGAACACCAGUGGCGAAGGCGGCUACCUGGUCUGCAACUGACGCUGAGACUCGAAAGCAUGGGUAGCGAACAGGAUUAGAUACCCUGGUAGGAUAGCG